AUUGAACGCUGGCGGCAGGCCUAACACAUGCAAGUCGAGCGGAGCGGCGUACGGGUGAGUAAUGCCUAGGAAUCUGCCUGGUAGUGGGGGAUACCGUCCGGAAACGGGCGCUAAUACCGCAUACUAUCAGAUGAGCCUAGGUCGGAUUCGCUCGUUGGUGGGGUAAAGGCCUACCAAGGCGACGAUCCGUAACUGGUCUGAGAGGAUGAUCAGUCACACUGGAACUGAGACACGGUCCAGACUCCUACGGGAGGCAGAAGUGGGGAAUAUUGGACAAUGGGGGAAAGCCUGAUCAAGCCAGGCCGCGUGUGUGAAGAAGGUCUUCGGAUUGUAAAGUACUUUAAGUUGGGAGGCGUUACCAACAGAAUAAGCACCGGCUAACUUCGUGCCAGCAGCCGCGGUAAUUC
This 407-nucleotide ribosomal RNA is filed under the name uncultured bacterium. Its description in RNAcentral is "partial 16S ribosomal RNA". It matches the Rfam family "Bacterial small subunit ribosomal RNA", at positions 30 to 526 of the family's 1533-position model. The record is from RNAcentral.